This 254-nucleotide ribosomal RNA is filed under the name uncultured bacterium. RNAcentral describes it as "partial 16S ribosomal RNA". It matches the Rfam family "Bacterial small subunit ribosomal RNA", at positions 524 to 776 of the family's 1533-position model. The record is from RNAcentral.
CACGUAGGGUGCGAGCGUUGUCCGGAAUUAUUGGGCGUAAAGAGCUCGUAGGCGGUGUGUCACGUCCGCCGUGAAAACCUGCAGCUUAACUGUGGGCGUGCGGUCGAUACGGGCAUCACUGGAGUUCGGCAGGGGAGACUGGAAUUCCUGGUGUAGCGGUGAAAUGCGCAGAUAUCAGGAGGAACACCGGUGGCGAAGGCGGGUCGCUGGGCCGAUACUGACGCUGAGGAGCGGAAGCGCGGGGAGCAAACAGG